This 253-nucleotide ribosomal RNA is filed under the name uncultured bacterium. Its description in RNAcentral is "partial 16S ribosomal RNA". It matches the Rfam family "Bacterial small subunit ribosomal RNA", at positions 524 to 776 of the family's 1533-position model. The record is from RNAcentral.
UACAGAGGGUGCGAACGUUGCUCGGAAUUACUGGGCGUAAAGCGCGUGUAGGCGGUCUGUUAAGUUGGUAGUGAAAUCCCAUGGCUCAACCAUGGAAGUGCUGCCAAAACUGGCAGGCUGGAGUGCCGGAGAGGGUGGCGGAAUUCCCAGUGUAGAGGUGAAAUUCGUAGAUAUUGGGAGGAACACCGGUGGCGAAGGCGGCCACCUGGACGGUAACUGACGCUAAGGCGCGAAAGCGUGGGGAGCAAACAGG